CCAGCUCAAUUUAUAUUUGGGUAGGACGUGGUCUCAUUCUCUACCUCUAGCUCAACAAAGUGUCUGAACAACCAAAAAACAUAGUACUAGCCAAGACAAAGAGGAUAGAUGGAUGAAUAGUAGAGUUGUAAAGAAAGGUGUGUGCAUGGCGUGUUGGGGAUGGGAGGCCAAAGGAAAGUUGAUACAACUGCGUGGCCCUGUCAUACGGACAAGUAGAGCAGAAGCAACAAGGUAGAUGAAUGAUUACUUGCUUGCUGCGUACCACCCAGCUGCUCAAUGGUGAUGCGGAGUUGCUACAAUAAAAUUUGCAUGGUCGAAGAGGCAUGCAGGAUGUGGGUCUUGGCAUUGGGAGUCACUUCAACCAGGCGGAACAGCUCGGCUUGGACAGGUACACAGCGGAUUGAUUUUGCUCGAGCUAGUAUAUAAAUGCCAUAUGUUCACACUGCAAAUUUAAAUAGUUGUGCAGAGGAGCUUGAGCAAAUUGCUUCAUGUGAGGACAGUUUAAUAUUUACAUAAAAAAUAAUUUAAAAGUCACCAACGUGGCUAUUGUACCUGGGGCUUAAUUUGUUUUGAUCACAUUCCUACCAAGGUAGCUAGGUUAUGAUUUCCUAAUGACAUAGGGCGCAAGUGCCAAGACCACUCGAUGCCAAUGAAAACGUCUUUGUGGUGAGAUGCCUCAGGAAGACAUCACGUAUGACCAAAUGAAGGGAUGUUCAGUUGACCAAAUGAAGCUGAUUUCUCGGUGAUCUUGAUUUUCAGGAGUGAAUUUGUCCUAGAACCCUCAGUAUGAAGGCCUGAUGGAGCUGCUCGAUGGUCCUAGAGACCCAGGAUUCAAUCAGACUGAACUGCUCGACCUCGACACAGCUGAUUGAUGAUGCACGAUCUUGUCUCGUGUUAGCAACACGCCUCUGAAGACCGUCAGCUGCGUCGGCUAGCUUCGUCACCAGGGGCAUCUGAAGCAUUGUCCGCGCCCAGGAACAGGAGGAACCACCAGUCUAUCUCACACUAUGCCAGCCCAGCUUGGACUAGUAGAUCGUUUCACAUGUCUGCUUGUAACAGGAGAGAAAGAGGGGAG
RNAcentral lists this long non-coding RNA (1075 nucleotides) under Sorghum bicolor (sorghum). RNAcentral describes it as "long non-coding RNA (SBIC_LNC007626)". Lineage: Eukaryota; Viridiplantae; Streptophyta; Magnoliopsida; Poales; Poaceae. The record is from RNAcentral.